This 544-nucleotide unclassified non-coding RNA is filed under the name Ichthyothere mollis. Its description in RNAcentral is "partial external transcribed spacer". The record is from RNAcentral. Lineage: Eukaryota; Viridiplantae; Streptophyta; Magnoliopsida; Asterales; Asteraceae.
UCAACCUAGUAGGGACGUGUCCCUGCGCCCAACGACUUUUGUCGGGAUCGUGGCAAGUCUGCGAUCCAGGGGGUGAUGUUGAGAGCCGGAAGGCAAGGGGGUGCAAACACUAGUUGAACUUUGUCCCGAUUGCCGAGUGUUAUGUGCUUGAUGUCCAAGGCUUGAUGCUGAUCCUCCAAUUGGGGCUUGUCCCUGCACCAAUGGCUUUUGCCAGGAUCAUGGCGUUUGUUGUGAUCGAAAAAAUGAGGGGGUGAUGUUUAGAGCCGGAAGGCAAGGGGGUGCAAACACCAGUCGGCCUUUGUCCCGAUUGCUGAGUGUUAUGUGCUUGACGUCCAAGGCUUGAUGCUGACCCUCCAAGUGGGGGCUUUUUUGUUCCUGCGGUAACGACUCUGUUGGGAUCAUUGUGAUCAAGUUUGGUUGGUUUCGUAUUGUGGUGGGUUUUUUCGAAGCUUAUAUCGUUCUUUUACGCAUCGUGCGGUGCAUCUUGGGGGCUGUUUUGGCUUUUGGUUGCUUGCUUGGGCUUUAUGCUAGGCGGGUGGCUAAU